AACGCGAAGAACCUUACCAGGCCUUGACAUCCAAUGAACUUUCUAGAGAUAGAUUGGUGCCUUCGGGAACAUUGAGACAGGUGCUGCAUGGCUGUCGUCAGCUCGUGUCGUGAGAUGUUGGGUUAAGUCCCGUAACGAGCGCAACCCUUGUCCUUAGUUACCAGCACGUUAUGGUGGGCACUCUAAGGAGACUGCCGGUGACAAACCGGAGGAAGGUGGGGAUGACGUCAAGUCAUCGUGGCCCUUACGGCCUGGGCUACACACGUGCUACAAUGGUCGGUACAGAGGGUUGCCAAGCCGCGAGGUGGAGCUAAUCCCACAAAACCGAUCGUAGUCCGGAUCGCAGUCUGCAACUCGACUGCGUGAAGUCGGAAUCGCUAGUAAUCGCUAAUCAGCAGGUAGCGGUGAAUACGCUCCCGGGUCUUGUACACACCG
RNAcentral lists this ribosomal RNA (435 nucleotides) under uncultured bacterium. Its description in RNAcentral is "bacterial SSU rRNA". It matches the Rfam family "Bacterial small subunit ribosomal RNA", at positions 958 to 1392 of the family's 1533-position model. The record is from RNAcentral.